Molecule: ribosomal RNA, 408 nt
Filed under: uncultured bacterium
Lineage: Bacteria
Description: partial 16S ribosomal RNA
Rfam family: Bacterial small subunit ribosomal RNA
Source: RNAcentral
GACGAACGCUGGCGGCGUGCUUAACACAUGCAAGUCGAACGAAGUGGCGAACGGGUGAGUAACGCGUAAUCAACCUGCCCUUCAGCGGGGGACAACAGUUGGAAACGACUGCUAAUACCGCAUACUGAAGGAGGGGAUUGCGUCUGAUUAGCUAGUUGGAGGGGUAACGGCCCACCAAGGCGAUGAUCAGUAGCCGGUCUGGAGAGAGGAACAGCCACAUUGGGAAUGGGACACGGCCCAGACUCCUACGGGAGGCAGCAGGGGGGAAUCUUCCGCAAUGGACGGAAGUCUGACGGAGCAACGCCGCGUGAGUGAUGACGGCGUUCGGGUUGGAAAGCUCUGUUAAUCGGGACGCGGUACCGGAAUAGAAAGCCACGGCUAACUACGUGCCAGCAGCCGCGGUAAUAC